Molecule: ribosomal RNA, 912 nt
Filed under: Pezicula carpinea
Lineage: Eukaryota; Fungi; Ascomycota; Leotiomycetes; Helotiales; Dermateaceae
Description: LSU rRNA
Rfam family: Eukaryotic large subunit ribosomal RNA
Source: RNAcentral
GCAUAUCAAUAAGCGGAGGAAAAGAAACCAACAGGGAUUACCUUAGUAACGGCGAGUGAAGCGGUAACAGCUCAAAUUUGAAAUCUGGGUCUUUUAGGCUCCCGAGUUGUAAUUUGUAGAAGAUGCUUUGGGUGCGGCCCCGGUCUAAGUUCCUUGGAACAGGACGUCAUAGAGGGUGAGAAUCCCGUAUGUGAUCGGUGGCUUGCGCCCGUGUAAAGCUCUUUCGACGAGUCGGGUUGUUUGGGAAUGCAGCUCUAAAUGGGUGGUAAAUUUCAUCUAAAGCUAAAUAUUGGCCAGAGACCGAUAGCGCACAAGUAGAGUGAUCGAAAGAUGAAAAGCACUUUGGAAAGAGAGUUAAACAGUACGUGAAAUUGUUGAAAGGGAAGCGCUUGCAACCAGACUUGCGCGGGGUUGAUCAUCCGGGGUUCUCCCCGGUGCACUCGGCCUCGCUCAGGCCAGCAUCGGUUUUGGUGGUUGGAUAAAGGCCUUGGGAAUGUGACUUCUUUCGGGGAGUGUUAUAGCCCUCGGUGCAAUGCAGCCUACCGGGACCGAGGACCGCGCUUCGGCUAGGAUGCUGGCGUAAUGGUUGUAAGCGACCCGUCUUGAAACACGGACCAAGGAGUCUAACAUCUAUGCGAGUGUUUGGGUGUCAAACCCAUACGCGUAAUGAAAGUGAACGGAGGUGAGAACCCUUAAGGGUGCAUCAUCGACCGAUCCUGAUGUCUUCGGAUGGAUUUGAGUAAGAGCAUAGCUGUUGGGACCCGAAAGAUGGUGAACUAUGCCUGAAUAGGGUGAAGCCAGAGGAAACUCUGGUGGAGGCUCGCAGCGGUUCUGACGUGCAAAUCGAUCGUCAAAUUUGGGCAUAGGGGCGAAAGACUAAUCGAACCAUCUAGUAGCUGGUUUCCUGCCGAA